AUAUUUACCUGGCAGGGGAGAUACCAUGAUUAUGAAGGUGGUUUUCCCUGGGCGAGGCUUAUCCAUGGCACCCCAGGUGAGCUGACCCCUGCGACUUGCCCAAAUGGGGGAGACUCGACUGCAUAAUUUGUGGUGGGGGGACUGCAUUCCUGCUCACGCCUG
Molossus molossus (Pallas's mastiff bat) is the source of this 162-nucleotide small nuclear RNA. RefSeq annotates it as U1 spliceosomal RNA. The record is from RefSeq and is a predicted model, not a curated record. Lineage: Eukaryota; Metazoa; Chordata; Mammalia; Chiroptera; Molossidae. The transcript has a single exon.